CUACGGGCUGCAGCAGUGAGGAAUUUUGCGCAAUGGGGGCAACCCUGACGCAGCAACGCCGCGUGAGUGAAGAAGGCCUUUGGGUCGUAAAGCUCUGUCAACAGGGAAGAAGUUACUUCAUAUUAAUAGUAUGUAGUAUUGACGGUACCUGUGGAGGAAGCAUCGGCUAACUCCGUGCCAGCAGCCGCGGUAAUACGGGGGAUGCAAGCGUUAUUCGGAAUCAUUGGGCGUAAAGGGCACGCAGGCGGCUCUGUCAGUCAGAUGUGAAAGCCCGGGGCUCAACCCCGGACGUGCAUUUGAAACAGCAGAGCUUGAGUACGGUAGAGGAAAGCGGAAUUCCUGGUGUAGAGGUGAAAUUCGUAGAUAUCAGGAGGAACACCGGUGGCGAAGGCGGCUUUCUGGACCGAAACUGACGCUGAGGUGCGAAGGCGUGGGUAGCGAACAGGAUUAGAUACCCUGGUAGUC
This 465-nucleotide ribosomal RNA is filed under the name uncultured bacterium. Its description in RNAcentral is "partial 16S ribosomal RNA". It matches the Rfam family "Bacterial small subunit ribosomal RNA", at positions 339 to 795 of the family's 1533-position model. The record is from RNAcentral.